AUGAUGUUCAACGGAUGUGCUGGCGGCUUAACCCCCGCAUGUGCACUCCUUAACACAAUUACACACCUGUGAACCUCGAACCGUGUCUGUGUGCUGAUCCCGUAGGGAGAUGUGUGCGCGCGCGUUCUUAUUUUACAAAACCCUGUUAACUAAAGCUCUAGAAAGUGUUGGUUAAUAUAAAA
This 182-nucleotide unclassified non-coding RNA is filed under the name uncultured Epulorhiza. Its description in RNAcentral is "sequence contains ITS1". Lineage: Eukaryota; Fungi; Basidiomycota; Agaricomycetes; Cantharellales; Tulasnellaceae. The record is from RNAcentral.